Molecule: non-coding RNA, 89 nt
Organism: Cucumis melo (muskmelon)
Lineage: Eukaryota; Viridiplantae; Streptophyta; Magnoliopsida; Cucurbitales; Cucurbitaceae
Source: Rfam
AAUGGCAAAUGAUGAACACCUUAUUACCGCUUAUUGAUAUACUGAUGCUCUGUGCUGACUCAAAACUCCGCUUAUUAUCUGAUGCCAUU